GCCUUCGUGGCGUAGUGGUCAGUACACUCGACGCGUAAAGGAGAGGUCCGUGGUUCGAGUCCCGGCGAAGGCU
Stegodyphus mimosarum is the source of this 73-nucleotide non-coding RNA. The record is from Rfam. NCBI's taxonomy places the organism in Eukaryota, Metazoa, Arthropoda, Arachnida, Araneae, Eresidae.